RNAcentral lists this long non-coding RNA (388 nucleotides) under Rattus norvegicus (Norway rat). RNAcentral describes it as "long non-coding RNA NONRATT002163". Lineage: Eukaryota; Metazoa; Chordata; Mammalia; Rodentia; Muridae. The record is from RNAcentral.
AUGGUUCCAAGGGGCCAUACACAGGCAGAUGUUCCACCAAGAGAACCAGGGGAGGAGGACUCCCCAGGCCCUGGCCAGCAGCCUCGAGCAGGACCUGCCCUCCGAUUUUUGAAGUGCCAGAGCCCAGGAAGUCCACAGAGAAGUCCUCACUUGAAGACAGGAAGACACCAAGUGACCCUGUGUGGCAUGAGCAAGCUUUCCGAACACAAGAGGGGCAAGCUUGCUCCUGCCGGGGUGACCCCAGACCCCAGAGCUACAGCACCCCUGACCCUUGCACACGUGAUCCAGACCCAUCCCGUGGUGGUGGCAACGGCACUGUCGUGCAGAGCCCGAACCGUGAACUCAGAUGAUGGGGACGGUCAGACAGACAGCACAGUGGGCAGGAGCA